AGUGAACGCUGGCGGUAGGCCUAACACAUGCCAGUCGAACGGCAGCACAGUAAGAGCUUGCUCUUACGGGUGGCGAGUGGCGGACGGGUGAGGAAUACAUCGGAAUCUACUUUUUCGUGGGGGAUAACGUAGGGAAACUUACGCUAAUACCGCAUACGACCUACGGGUGAAAGCAGGGGAUCUUCGGACCUUGCGCGAUUGAAUGAGCCGAUGUCGGAUUAGCUAGUUGGCGGGGUAAAGGCCCACCAAGGCGACGAUCCGUAGCUGGUCUGAGAGGAUGGUCGGCCACACUGGAGCUGGGACGCGGUCCAGACUCCUACGGGAGGCAGCAGUGGGGAAUAUUGGACAGUGGGCGCAAGCCUGAUCCAGCCAUACCGCGUGGGUGGAGAAGGCCUUCGGGUUGUAAAGCCCUUUUGUUGGGAAAGAACAGCAGCAGGUUGAGACGCCGCUGUUCUGACGGUACCCAAAGAAUAAGCACCGGCUAACUUCGUG
RNAcentral lists this ribosomal RNA (492 nucleotides) under uncultured bacterium. Its description in RNAcentral is "partial 16S ribosomal RNA". It matches the Rfam family "Bacterial small subunit ribosomal RNA", at positions 29 to 507 of the family's 1533-position model. The record is from RNAcentral.